UGGGGAAUAUUGGACAAUGGGCGCAAGCCUGAUCCAGCCAUGCCGCGUGAGUGAUGAAGGCCUUAGGGUUGUAAAGCUCUUUCGCACGCGACGAUGAUGACGGUAGCGUGAGAAGAAGCCCCGGCUAACUUCGUGCCAGCAGCCGCGGUAAUACGAAGGGGGCUAGCGUUGUUCGGAAUUACUGGGCGUAAAGGGCGCGUAGGCGGCCUGUUUAGUCAGAAGUGAAAGCCCCGGGCUCAACCUGGGAAUAGCUUUUGAUACUGGCAGGCUUGAGUUCCGGAGAGGAUGGUGGAAUUCCCAGUGUAGAGGUGAAAUUCGUAGAUAUUGGGAAGAACACCGGUGGCGAAGGCGGCCAUCUGGACGGACACUGACGCUGAGGCGCGAAAGCGUGGGGAGCAAACA
This 402-nucleotide ribosomal RNA is filed under the name uncultured Azospirillum sp. RNAcentral describes it as "bacterial SSU rRNA". It matches the Rfam family "Bacterial small subunit ribosomal RNA", at positions 355 to 774 of the family's 1533-position model. The record is from RNAcentral. Lineage: Bacteria; Pseudomonadati; Pseudomonadota; Alphaproteobacteria; Rhodospirillales; Azospirillaceae.